CCUACGUGAGGCAGCAGUAGGGAAUCUUCCACAAUGGGCGAAAGCCUGAUGGAGCAACGCCGCGUGGGUGAAGAAGGUCUUCGGAUCGUAAAACCCUGUUGUUAGAGAAGAAAGUGCGUGAGAGUAACUGUUCACGUUUCGACGGUAUCUGACCAGAAAGCCACGGCUAACUACGUGCCAGCAGCCGCGGUAAUACGUAGGUGGCAAGCGUUAUCCGGAUUUAUUGGGCGUAAAGGGAACGCAGGCGGUCUUUUAAGUCUGAUGUGAAAGCCUUCGGCUUAACCGGAGUAGUGCAUUGGAAACUGGGAGACUUGAGUGCAGAAGAGGAGAGUGGAACUCGAGGUGUAGCGGUGAAAUGCGUAGAUAUAUGGAAGAACACCAGUGGCGAAAGCGGCUCUCUGGUCUGUAACUGACGCUGAGGUUCGAAAGCGUGGGUAGCAAACAGGAUUAGAUACCCGUGUAGUC
This 465-nucleotide ribosomal RNA is filed under the name uncultured bacterium. Its description in RNAcentral is "partial 16S ribosomal RNA". It matches the Rfam family "Bacterial small subunit ribosomal RNA", at positions 338 to 795 of the family's 1533-position model. The record is from RNAcentral.